CAGUAGCCGCGGGAAUACGUAGGUGGCAAGCGUUGUCCGGAAUUAUUGGGCGUAAAGGGCUCGCAGGCGGUUUCUUAAGUCUGAUGUGAAAGCCCCCGGCUCAACCGGGGAGGGUCAUUGGGAACUGGGAAACUUGAGUGCAGAAGAGGAGAGUGGAAUUCCACGUGUAGCGGUGAAAUGCGUAGAGAUGUGGAGGAACACCAGUGGCGAAGGCGACUCUCUGGUCUGUAACUGACGCUGAGGAGCGAAAGCGUGGGGAGCGAACAGGAUUAGAUACCCGCGUAGUCCCUGUCUCUUAUAU
This 301-nucleotide ribosomal RNA is filed under the name uncultured bacterium. RNAcentral describes it as "partial 16S ribosomal RNA". It matches the Rfam family "Bacterial small subunit ribosomal RNA", at positions 509 to 809 of the family's 1533-position model. The record is from RNAcentral.